This 443-nucleotide ribosomal RNA is filed under the name uncultured bacterium. RNAcentral describes it as "partial 16S ribosomal RNA". It matches the Rfam family "Bacterial small subunit ribosomal RNA", at positions 338 to 795 of the family's 1533-position model. The record is from RNAcentral.
CCUACGGGUGGCAGCAGUGGGGAAUAUUGGGCAAUGGGCGCAAGCCUGACCCAGCAACGCCGCGUGAAGGAAGAAGGCUUUCGGGUUGUAAAAUUCUUUUCUCAGGGACGAAGAAAGUGACGGUACCUGCGGAAUAAGCCACGGCUAACUACGUGCCAGCAGCCGCGGUAAUACGUAGGAGGCCAGCGUUAUCCGGAUUUACUGGGUGUAAAGGGGGUGUAGGCGGGACUGCAAGUCAGAUGUGAAAAGCACGGGCUCAACCUGUGGCCUGCCUUUGAAAAUGUAGUUCUUGAGUACUGGAGAGGCAGGCGGAAUUCCUAGUGUAGCGGUGAAAUGCGUAGAUAUUAGGAGGAACACCAGUGGCGAAGGCGGCUUGCUGGACAGCAACUGACGCUGAGGCACGAAAGCGUGGGGAGCAAACAGGAUUAGAUACCCGAGUAGUC